UACCUGAAUCAACACCAAAAACUGCAACAGGUACUACACCAGGCACAACACCAGGAACAACACCGGUUACAAUACCUGAAACAACACCAGAAACUACAACAGGUACUACACCAGGCACAACACCAGUAACAACACCGGUUACAAUACCUGAAUCAACACCAGAAACUGCAACAGGUACUACACCAGGCACAACACCAGGUAACAUCAAGUUUUGUUUACGGUUCAUA
RNAcentral lists this long non-coding RNA (227 nucleotides) under Strongylocentrotus purpuratus (purple sea urchin). Its description in RNAcentral is "uncharacterized LOC115926564". The record is from RNAcentral. Lineage: Eukaryota; Metazoa; Echinodermata; Echinoidea; Camarodonta; Strongylocentrotidae.